CCUACGGGUGGCAGCAGUGAGGAAUUGGUCACUGGACGAGAGUCUGAACCAGCCAAGUAGCGUGAAGGAUGACUGCCCUAUGGGUUGUAAACUUCUUUUAUAAAGGAAUAAAACGAGGCACGUGUGCCUUUUUGCAUGUACUUUAUGAAUAAGGAUCGGCUAACUCCGUGCCAGCAGCCGCGGUAAUACGGAGGAUCCGAGCGUUAUCCGGAUUUAUUGGGUUUAAAGGGUGCGUAGAUGGGUUGUUAAGUCAGUUGUGAAAGUUUGCGGCUCAACCGUAAAAUUGCAAUUGAUACUGGCAGGCUUGAGUACAGUUGAGGUAAGCGGAAUUCGUGGUGUAGCGGUGAAAUGCUUAGAUAUCACGAAGAACCCCGAUUGCGAAGGCAGCUUACUAAACUGUGACUGACAUUGAUGCUCGAAAGUGUGGGUAUCAAACAGGAUUAGAUACCCUUGUAGUC
Molecule: ribosomal RNA, 458 nt
Filed under: uncultured bacterium
Lineage: Bacteria
Description: partial 16S ribosomal RNA
Rfam family: Bacterial small subunit ribosomal RNA
Source: RNAcentral